GCUUAGAGUUUGAUCCUGGCUCAGAAUGAACGCUGGCGGCAUGGCUAAAACAUGCAAGUCGAACGCGAAAGUCACUUCGGUGGCGAGUAGAGUGGCGAAAGGGCGAGGAAUCCGUUCCUACGUACCCCGAGGUCCGGGAUAGCCCAGGGAAACCUGGAUUAAUACCGGAUGUGGUCUCCGGAUCAAAGGUUUACUGCCUCGGGAGCGGGGAACGUCCUAUCAGGUUGUUGGUGAGGUAACGGCUCACCAAGCCGAAGACGGGUAGCGGGCGUGAGAGCGUGACCCGCCGCAUCGGGACUGAGACACUGCCCGGACUCCUACGGGAGGCUGCAGUAACGAAUCUUCCGCAAUGCGCGAAAGCGUGACGGAGCAAUGCCGCGUGCAGGAUGAAGCUUCUCGGAGUGUAAACUGCUGUCAGGGUUUAGGAAGCAAGUGACCAAACCCAAAGGAAGGGCCGGCUAACUUCGUGCCAGCAGCCGCGGUAAUACGAAGGGCCCGAGCGUUAUUCGGAAUCACUGGGCUUAAAGCGUACGUAGGCGGAGAUGCAGGCAUCGAGUGAAAUCCCUCGGCUCAACCGAGGAACUGCUCGGUGAACCGCAUCUCUUGAGACAGGUAGAGGUUGUCGGAACGCUAGGUGGAGUGGUGAAAUGCGUUGAUAUCUAGCGGAACGCCAAAGGAGAAAUCAGGCAACUGGGCCUGUUCUGACGCUGAGGUACGAAAGCGUGGGGAGCGAACGGGAUUAGAUACCCCGGUAGUCCACGCCGUAAACGAUGUGCACUAGGUCGUGGGGGUACUGACGCCGCCCCUCGCCGAAGCGAAAGUGUUAAGUGCACCGCCUGGGGAGUACGGUCGCAAGGC
This 858-nucleotide ribosomal RNA is filed under the name uncultured bacterium. Its description in RNAcentral is "bacterial SSU rRNA". It matches the Rfam family "Bacterial small subunit ribosomal RNA", at positions 1 to 894 of the family's 1533-position model. The record is from RNAcentral.